RNAcentral lists this ribosomal RNA (251 nucleotides) under uncultured prokaryote. RNAcentral describes it as "partial 16S rRNA". It matches the Rfam family "Bacterial small subunit ribosomal RNA", at positions 525 to 775 of the family's 1533-position model. The record is from RNAcentral.
ACGUAGGGAGCGAGCGUUGUCCGGAAUUACUGGGCGUAAAGGGUGCGUAGGUGGCUUGGCAAGUCAGAUGUGAAAUCCCCGGGCUUAACUCGGGUGCUGCAUUUGAAACUGCUGAGCUUGAGUGCAGGAGAGGAAAGCGGAAUUCCUAGUGGAGCGGUGAGAUGCGUAGAUAUUAGGAGGAACACCAGUGGCGAAGGCGGCUUUCUGGACUGUUUCUGACGCUGAUGCACGAAAUCGUGGAGAGCAAACAG